GACGUAGGAUGCAAGCGUUGUCCGGAUUUAUUGGGCGUAAAGAGUUCGUAGGCGGUUUGUUAAGUCUGGUGUUAAAGAUCAGGGCCCAACCCUGGGACUGCAUUGGAUACUGGCAGACUGGAGUGCGGUAGAGGUAAGUGGAAUUUCUGGUGUAGCGGUGAAAUGCGUAGAUAUCAGAAAGAACAUCGGUGGCGUAGGCGACUUACUGGGCCGUAACUGACGCUGAGGAACGAAAGCCAGGGGAGCGAAUGGG
RNAcentral lists this ribosomal RNA (253 nucleotides) under uncultured bacterium. RNAcentral's name for it is "partial 16S ribosomal RNA". It matches the Rfam family "Bacterial small subunit ribosomal RNA", at positions 524 to 776 of the family's 1533-position model. The record is from RNAcentral.